AACGAACGCUGGCGGCAUGCCUAACACAUGCAAGUCGAACGAGACCUUCGGGCCUUGUGGCGCACGGCUGCGUACGGCGGGGGAAGCUGCCCUUGGGUACGGUAUACCUCCCCGAAAGGGGUGCUAAUACCGGAUAAUGUAUUCGGACCAAGGAUUUAUCGCCUUUGGGUGGGGCCGCGUUGGAUUAGCUGGUUGGUAGGGUAUAAGCAUACCAAGGCGUCGAUGCAGAGCUGGUCGGAGAGGGGGAUCAACCACACUUGGACUGAGACACGGCCCAGACUCGUACGGAAGGCAGCAGAGGGGAAUAUUGGACGAGGGACGAAAGCCUGAUCCAGCAGUGCCGCGGGAGUGAUGAAGGCCGUAGGGUUGUAAAGCUCUUUGACCCGGGAUGAUAAUGACAGUACCGGGAGAAUAAGCUCCGGCUAACUACGUG
RNAcentral lists this ribosomal RNA (433 nucleotides) under uncultured bacterium. Its description in RNAcentral is "partial 16S ribosomal RNA". It matches the Rfam family "Bacterial small subunit ribosomal RNA", at positions 29 to 507 of the family's 1533-position model. The record is from RNAcentral.